Long non-coding RNA from Mobula hypostoma (lesser devil ray), 177 nucleotides. RefSeq lists it as uncharacterized. The record is from RefSeq and is a predicted model, not a curated record. The transcript is spliced from 3 exons. NCBI's taxonomy places the organism in Eukaryota, Metazoa, Chordata, Chondrichthyes, Myliobatiformes, Myliobatidae.
GUCUUGACCAACUGACUGAAUUACUAAAAAGCAUACAGAAAAAGUGUCAAAAGCAGUCCAAUUGCAGCGAUGAAUUUCAACGUUAUCUUGAAGUGGCCUUUGCAGACCUAAAGGGUCUGUCAACCCAUGUUGGGAAAUGCCCAAAUUUACAUCAAGCCAAAUGCUGUAGUGCAGAAA